AACGAACGCUGGCGGCAGGCCUAACACAUGCAAGUCGAACGCUCCAGCAAUGGAGAGUGGCAGACGGGUGAGUAACGCGUGGGAACCUACCCUUUGGUUCGGAAUAGCCCAGGGAAACUUGGGGUAAUACCGGAUAAGCCCUUCGGGGGAAAGAUUUAUCGCCAAUGGAUGGGCCCGCGUCGGAUUAGCUAGUUGGUGGGGUAACGGCCCACCAAGGCGACGAUCCGUAGCUGGUCUGAGAGGAUGAUCAGCCACACUGGGACUGAGACACGGCCCAGACUCCUACGGGAGGCAGCAGUGGGGAAUAUUGGACAAUGGGGGAAACCCUGAUCCAGCAAUGCCGCGUGAGUGAUGAAGGCCUUAGGGUUGUAAAGCUCUUUCGACGGGGACGAUGAUGACGGUACCCGUAGAAGAAGCCCCGGCUAACUUCGUGC
This 434-nucleotide ribosomal RNA is filed under the name uncultured bacterium. RNAcentral describes it as "bacterial SSU rRNA". It matches the Rfam family "Bacterial small subunit ribosomal RNA", at positions 29 to 508 of the family's 1533-position model. The record is from RNAcentral.